This 533-nucleotide ribosomal RNA is filed under the name uncultured bacterium. Its description in RNAcentral is "bacterial SSU rRNA". It matches the Rfam family "Bacterial small subunit ribosomal RNA", at positions 28 to 605 of the family's 1533-position model. The record is from RNAcentral.
AGCGAACGCUGGCGGCAGGCUUAACACAUGCAAGUCGAGCGGGCGUAGCAAUACGUCAGCGGCAGACGGGUGAGUAACGCGUGGGAACGUACCUUUUGGUUCGGAACAACUGAGGGAAACUUCAGCUAAUACCGGAUAAGCCCUAACGGGGAAAGAUUUAUCGCCGAAAGAUCGGCCCGCGUCUGAUUAGCUAGUUGGUGAGGUAACGGCUCACCAAGGCGACGAUCAGUAGCUGGUCUGAGAGGAUGAUCAGCCACACUGGGACUGAGACACGGCCCAGACUCCUACGGGAGGCAGCAGUGGGGAAUAUUGGACAAUGGGGGCAACCCUGAUCCAGCCAUGCCGCGUGAGUGAUGAAGGCCCUAGGGUUGUAAAGCUCUUUUGUGCGGGAAGAUAAUGACGGUACCGCAAGAAUAAGCCCCGGCUAACUUCGUGCCAGCAGCCGCGGUAAUACGAAGGGGGCUAGCGUUGCUCGGAAUCACUGGGCGUAAAGGGUGCGUAGGCGGGUCUUUAAGUCAGAGGUGAAAUCCUGG